UUCAACAGCUGCAUCCCCAGGAGC
Molecule: unclassified non-coding RNA, 24 nt
Filed under: Mus musculus (house mouse)
Lineage: Eukaryota; Metazoa; Chordata; Mammalia; Rodentia; Muridae
Description: oocyte_clustered_small_RNA10330
Source: RNAcentral